Oryza nivara is the source of this 205-nucleotide non-coding RNA. The record is from Rfam. NCBI's taxonomy places the organism in Eukaryota, Viridiplantae, Streptophyta, Magnoliopsida, Poales, Poaceae.
UAAAAGGCUAACUCUAGAUUUCCGUGUCUAACUUUGACUGUCCGUCUUAUAUGAAAUUUUUUAUAAUUCAUAUUUUUAUUGUUGUUAAAUGAUUAAACAUGAUUAAUAUUUUAUACGUGAUUUCUCUUUUUAAUUUUUUUCAUAAUUUUUUUAAAUAAGACGGACGAUCAAACGUUGGACACGAAAACUAGAGUUUGUCUUUUUU